RNAcentral lists this ribosomal RNA (254 nucleotides) under uncultured bacterium. Its description in RNAcentral is "partial 16S ribosomal RNA". It matches the Rfam family "Bacterial small subunit ribosomal RNA", at positions 524 to 776 of the family's 1533-position model. The record is from RNAcentral.
UACAGAGGUGGCAAGCGUUGUUCGGAAUUACUGGGCGUAAAGGGCGCGUAGGCGGUCUUCUAAGUCUUGUGUGAAAUCCCUCGGCUCAACUGAGGAACUGCACGGGAUACUGGAAGACUUGAGUUUGGGAGAGGGAAGCGGAAUUCCGGGUGUAGCGGUGAAAUGCGUAGAUAUCCGGAGGAACACCGGUGGCGAAGGCGGCUUCCUGGACCGAUCACUGACGCUGAGGCGCGAAAGCUAGGGGAGCAAACGGG